This 433-nucleotide ribosomal RNA is filed under the name uncultured bacterium. RNAcentral's name for it is "partial 16S ribosomal RNA". It matches the Rfam family "Bacterial small subunit ribosomal RNA", at positions 29 to 507 of the family's 1533-position model. The record is from RNAcentral.
AACGAACGCUGGCGGCAUGCCUAACACAUGCAAGUCGAACGAGACCUGCGGGGCUAGUGGCGCACGGGUGCUUAAGGCGUGGGAACUUGCCCUUAGGUUCGCUAUAACUCCCCGAAAGGGGUGUUAAUACCGGAUAAUCUCUUCCGACCUAAGAUUUAUUGCUUUUGGAUGGGCGCGCGUUGGAUUAGCUAGUUGGUAGGGUAAAAGCCUAGCAAGGCGACGAUCCAUAGCUGGGCUGAGAGGAUGAUCAGCCACACUGGGACUGAGACACGGCCCAGACUCCUACGGAAGGGAGGAGUGGGGAAUAUUGGACGAGGGGGGAAAGCCUGAUCCAGCCAUGCCGGGUGAGUGAUGAAGGCCUUAGGGUUGUAAAGCUGUUUUACCCGGGAUGAUAAUGACAGUACCGGGAGAAUAAGCUCCGGCUAACUCCGUG